UGGGGAAUAUUGCACAAUGGGCGCAAGCCUGAUGCAGCCAUGCCGCGUGUGUGAAGAAGGCCUUCGGGUUGUAAAGCACUUUCAGCGGGGAGGAAGGCGUUAAGGUUAAUAACCUUGGCGAUUGACGUUACCCGCAGAAGAAGCACCGGCUAACUCCGUGCCAGCAGCCGCGGUAAUACGGAGGGUGCAAGCGUUAAUCGGAAUUACUGGGCGUAAAGCGCACGCAGGCGGUCUGUCAAGUCGGAUGUGAAAUCCCCGGGCGCAACCUGGGAACUGCAUUCGAAACUGGCAGGCUAGAGUCUUGUAGAGGGGGGUAGAAUUCCAGGUGUAGCGGUGAAAUGCGUAGAGAUCUGGAGGAAUACCGGUGGCGAAGGCGGCCCCCUGGACAAAGACUGACGCUCAGGUGCGAAAGCGUGGGGAGCAAACAGG
RNAcentral lists this ribosomal RNA (429 nucleotides) under Chloroflexota bacterium. RNAcentral describes it as "Chloroflexi bacterium partial 16S ribosomal RNA". It matches the Rfam family "Bacterial small subunit ribosomal RNA", at positions 355 to 776 of the family's 1533-position model. The record is from RNAcentral. Lineage: Bacteria; Bacillati; Chloroflexota.